This 2902-nucleotide ribosomal RNA is filed under the name Escherichia coli. RNAcentral describes it as "23S ribosomal RNA". It matches the Rfam family "Bacterial large subunit ribosomal RNA". Lineage: Bacteria; Pseudomonadati; Pseudomonadota; Gammaproteobacteria; Enterobacterales; Enterobacteriaceae. The record is from RNAcentral.
UUAAGCGACUAAGCGUACACGGUGGAUGCCCUGGCAGUCAGAGGCGAUGAAGGACGUGCUAAUCUGCGAUAAGCGUCGGUAAGGUGAUAUGAACCGUUAUAACCGGCGAUUUCCGAAUGGGGAAACCCAGUGUGAUUCGUCACACUAUCAUUAACUGAAUCCAUAGGUUAAUGAGGCGAACCGGGGGAACUGAAACAUCUAAGUACCCCGAGGAAAAGAAAUCAACCGAGAUUCCCCCAGUAGCGGCGAGCGAACGGGGAGCAGCCCAGAGCCUGAAUCAGUGUGUGUGUUAGUGGAAGCGUCUGGAAAGGCGCGCGAUACAGGGUGACAGCCCCGUACACAAAAAUGCACAUACUGUGAGCUCGAUGAGUAGGGCGGGACACGUGGUAUCCUGUCUGAAUAUGGGGGGACCAUCCUCCAAGGCUAAAUACUCCUGACUGACCGAUAGUGAACCAGUACCGUGAGGGAAAGGCGAAAAGAACCCCGGCGAGGGGAGUGAAAAAGAACCUGAAACCGUGUACGUACAAGCAGUGGGAGCACAGAGCAAUCUGUGUGACUGCGUACCUUUUGUAUAAUGGGUCAGCGACUUAUAUUCUGUAGCAAGGUUAACCGAAUAGGGGAGCCGAAGGGAAACCGAGUCUUAACUGGGCGUUAAGUUGCAGGGUAUAGACCCGAAACCCGGUGAUCUAGCCAUGGGCAGGUUGAAGGUUGGGUAACACUAACUGGAGGACCGAACCGACUAAUGUUGAAAAAUUAGCGGAUGACUUGUGGCUGGGGGUGAAAGGCCAAUCAAACCGGGAGAUAGCUGGUUCUCCCCGAAAGCUAUUUAGGUAGCGCCUCGUGAAUUCAUCUCCGGGGGUAGAGCACUGUUUCGGCAAGGGGGUCAUCCCGACUUACCAACCCGAUGCAAACUGCGAAUACCGGAGAAUGUUAUCACGGGAGACACACGGCGGGUGCUAACGUCCGUCGUGAAGAGGGAAACAACCCAGACCGCCAGCUAAGGUCCCAAAGUCAUGGUUAAGUGGGAAACGAUGUGGGAAGGCCCAGACAGCCAGGAUGUUGGCUUAGAAGCAGCCAUCAUUUAAAGAAAGCGUAAUAGCUCACUGGUCGAGUCGGCCUGCGCGGAAGAUGUAACGGGGCUAAACCAUGCACCGAAGCUGCGGCAGCGACGCUGAUGCGUUGUUGGGUAGGGGAGCGUUCUGUAAGCCUGUGAAGGUGUGCUGUGAGGCAUGCUGGAGGUAUCAGAAGUGCGAAUGCUGACAUAAGUAACGAUAAAGCGGGUGAAAAGCCCGCUCGCCGGAAGACCAAGGGUUCCUGUCCAACGUUAAUCGGGGCAGGGUGAGUCGACCCCUAAGGCGAGGCCGAAAGGCGUAGUCGAUGGGAAACAGGUUAAUAUUCCUGUACUUGGUGUUACUGCGAAGGGGGGACGGAGAAGGCUAUGUUGGCCGGGCGACGGUUGUCCCGGUUUAAGCGUGUAGGCUGGUUUUCCAGGCAAAUCCGGAAAAUCAAGGCUGAGGCGUGAUGACGAGGCACUACGGUGCUGAAGCAACAAAUGCCCUGCUUCCAGGAAAAGCCUCUAAGCAUCAGGUAACAUCAAAUCGUACCCCAAACCGACACAGGUGGUCAGGUAGAGAAUACCAAGGCGCUUGAGAGAACUCGGGUGAAGGAACUAGGCAAAAUGGUGCCGUAACUUCGGGAGAAGGCACGCUGAUAUGUAGGUGAAGUCCCUCGCGGAUGGAGCUGAAAUCAGUCGAAGAUACCAGCUGGCUGCAACUGUUUAUUAAAAACACAGCACUGUGCAAACACGAAAGUGGACGUAUACGGUGUGACGCCUGCCCGGUGCCGGAAGGUUAAUUGAUGGGGUUAGCGCAAGCGAAGCUCUUGAUCGAAGCCCCGGUAAACGGCGGCCGUAACUAUAACGGUCCUAAGGUAGCGAAAUUCCUUGUCGGGUAAGUUCCGACCUGCACGAAUGGCGUAAUGAUGGCCAGGCUGUCUCCACCCGAGACUCAGUGAAAUUGAACUCGCUGUGAAGAUGCAGUGUACCCGCGGCAAGACGGAAAGACCCCGUGAACCUUUACUAUAGCUUGACACUGAACAUUGAGCCUUGAUGUGUAGGAUAGGUGGGAGGCUUUGAAGUGUGGACGCCAGUCUGCAUGGAGCCGACCUUGAAAUACCACCCUUUAAUGUUUGAUGUUCUAACGUUGACCGUAAUCCGGGUUGCGGACAGUGUCUGGUGGGUAGUUUGACUGGGGCGGUCUCCUCCUAAAGAGUAACGGAGGAGCACGAAGGUUGGCUAAUCCUGGUCGGACAUCAGGAGGUUAGUGCAAUGGCAUAAGCCAGCUUGACUGCGAGCGUGACGGCGCGAGCAGGUGCGAAAGCAGGUCAUAGUGAUCCGGUGGUUCUGAAUGGAAGGGCCAUCGCUCAACGGAUAAAAGGUACUCCGGGGAUAAACAGGCUGAUACCGCCCAAGAGUUCAUAUCGACGGCGGUGUUUGGCACCUCGAUGUCGGCUCAUCACAUCCUGGGGCUGAAGUAGGUCCCAAGGGUAUGGCUGUUCGCCAUUUAAAGUGGUACGCGAGCUGGGUUUAGAACGUCGUGAGACAGUUCGGUCCCUAUCUGCCGUGGGCGCUGGAGAACUGAGGGGGGCCUGCUCCUAGUACGAGAGGACCGGAGUGGACGCAUCACUGGUGUUCGGGUUGUCAUGCCAAUGGCACUGCCCGGUAGCUAAAUGCGGAAGAGAUAAGUGCUGAAAGCAUCUAAGCACGAAACUUGCCCCGAGAUGAGUUCUCCCUGACCUUUAAGGGUCCUGAGGAACGUUGAAGACGACGACGUUGAUAGGCCGGGUGUGUAAGCGCAGCGAUGCGUUGAGCUAACCGGUACUAAUGAACCGUGAGGCUUAACCU